CCUACGGGAGGCAGCAGUGGGGAAUAUUGGACAAUGGGGGCAACCCUGAUCCAGCAAUACCGCGUGUGUGAAGAAGGCCUGCGGGUUGUAAAGCACUUUCAAUUGUGAAGAAAAGAUUAAGGUUAAUAACCUUAGACCGUGACGUUAACUUUAGAAGAAGCACCGGCUAACUCCGUGCCAGCAGCCGCGGUAAU
This 194-nucleotide ribosomal RNA is filed under the name bacterium symbiont of Siboglinum sp. RNAcentral's name for it is "partial 16S ribosomal RNA". It matches the Rfam family "Bacterial small subunit ribosomal RNA", at positions 338 to 524 of the family's 1533-position model. The record is from RNAcentral.